Molecule: ribosomal RNA, 253 nt
Filed under: uncultured bacterium
Lineage: Bacteria
Description: partial 16S ribosomal RNA
Rfam family: Bacterial small subunit ribosomal RNA
Source: RNAcentral
UACGUAGGGGGCAAGCGUUGUCCGGAUUUAUUGGGCGUAAAGAGCGUGUAGGCGGCCAUUCAGGUCAGCUGUGAAAACUCGAGGCUCAACCUCGAGACGUCGGUUGAAACCAUCUGGCUAGAGUCCGGAAGAGGAGUGUGGAAUUCCCGGUGUAGCGGUGAAAUGCGCAGAUAUCGGGAAGAACACCCGUGGCGAAGGCGGCACUCUGGGACGGUACUGACGCUGAGAUGCGAAAGCGUGGGGAGCGAACAGG